AAGGAUUUAAGUUAUUUAAACUAUUAACCUUCAAAGUUAAAAAUAGGAAAGCCUAAGCCUUA
This 62-nucleotide transfer RNA is filed under the name Glyphocassis sp. N62. RNAcentral's name for it is "tRNA-Trp". Lineage: Eukaryota; Metazoa; Arthropoda; Insecta; Coleoptera; Chrysomelidae. The record is from RNAcentral.